AGAGCCCAGUCACCCAGCCCACUCUGCGGAGACGCCUCGGCCCCCGGAGCAGCUCGGCUGGUUUAGAGCCACAUCCCUGCUGUAAAUACUCCAUACGGAAUUCGAGGGAUUUAGGUCCCGGUUCAACGACAGCGAUGUCGCUGCUGAGCCGGGAACACAGCACGGGCAAUGCAGCCGCGGAAACCACCGAACGCGAUCGGCGGGGAGAGGCGGCGGAGCUGAGCGGGGCAGGACGGCAGAGGCGGGCAGGACGGCAGCGCGAGGCCGGCUCCACGCACGCUCCGCGCCGGCUUUGCGGGGCUACUCGGGACUGGGGUGGCUGGUCGUGUGGAGGAUCCAUUUCCAGCUUUCCGAGGCGUCUCCGCACUGCCUUCCACAGCGGCUGCAUCAGUUUACGCUCCCACCAGCGGUGGGGGAGGGUACCUUUUCCCCCACUCCCUCGCCAGCCCGCGUUUAUUGUUUUUUGGUCCAAAUGUGGAGCUGGAGGAACACGAGUGACGACAGAUCUCCGGAAGCUGACCGGGAGGACACAGGAACUGGUGCCAAAGCAAAGCUCCAGAAUACAGAACUAAAGUGAGCUGAGCCUGAGGGGUGCUGCUGUGUGACUCGCUUCCUUUCCUGACCACGGCCAGCAGCAGCGAUAAUAAAGGCCUUCAGUUCAGGGGAAAAGAACACCUCUGUUUCUCCCCAGGCCCUCCCAGAGCGCCCUCUCGCACCCAAGUGAAAAAACCCAUUUUAAUAAAUGUCGGGUAUUUACUUCUUGCUAAGUGCUCUGCACAAAUACAUGUGAGGAACGGCCUAAAGGGUGAAAAGAUGGCGUGCCGGAGAGUGCUGUGGGUUUGAGAGCAGAGAUGUUGAGGUAGGGCUGCAAGGUAUUUUGCAAGUCAAGCCUACUUUACGAAGCCAUGUGACUGAUAGGAAUUCCGCCACAGGCUUCAUCGCAACUGGACCGUUCACCUCUGUGGGAGCAUAAACAUUCUAAUGAAAUUCUAACAAAAGUUCGAACUCAUUUUUAGCAGGAGGCGUCAGUAGGUUGAAGGUCAGUAGGUUGAAGGUCCGUGAGACCUAACCGGCACCACCCGGCAGCGGGUAGGAACCGCCUCUCACUGGGCGGCUUGUGGCCUCCAGACAGAGCAGUGGUCGCAAGGGACCCCACGAGCGGCUCGGGGUCAUGUCAGCCCGACCUCCCCUGAGCUGGUGGCGUCUACGGUAAGGUCCUCCCCGUGGGAUUCCAGGCAUAAACCUCUACUGCGUGUUCUGCCUGGGCCGAGCCCAGAGCCGGGCUGUGUCGGCACAAAGACCCACGUGACCGGCCGGUUUCACACUCCUUCCCCUGGAGAGAGUGUGGCGUCCAGGGGCUUCCAGCUGAGCCUGGUCUUUCCUCAGUUGGGUGUUUGCACUACCACCCUGAACGGACACUUGAGGCCCACUUCUCUGAGAGGCGCUGGCCUUGUCUGAGAUCCGGGUUCUACAGGCGACGUUCUCUCGCGCCGACUCCAUUGUUGCUAACAGAAGUGCCCACGACACGCUGUCCAAGCCUGCAGAUUUCUUCAGGAGCUUGGGAUGCGGCUUCCACUGGAGGCUUCACUCCGUCAGUGGAGUGACUUCUCUCCCCCCUCUUCCCCUCCUCCCCUCCCAGCCUCUGUCCUCCCUUCUCCUCUCCCCUCCUCCCCUCCCAUCUCCCCU
Non-coding RNA from Oryctolagus cuniculus (rabbit), 1686 nucleotides. The record is from RefSeq and is a predicted model, not a curated record. NCBI's taxonomy places the organism in Eukaryota, Metazoa, Chordata, Mammalia, Lagomorpha, Leporidae.